CUAGUACUCCCUCCGUCCGAAAAAGUUUGUCCCUCAAAUGGAUGUAUCUAGCACCACCAAGUUAGUGCUAGAUACAUCUAUUUGAGGGACAAGUUUGGGACAAGCUUUUCGGACGAAGGAAGUAGCAU
Molecule: non-coding RNA, 128 nt
Organism: Triticum aestivum (bread wheat)
Lineage: Eukaryota; Viridiplantae; Streptophyta; Magnoliopsida; Poales; Poaceae
Source: Rfam